GACGAACGCUGGCGGCGUGCUUAACACAUGCAAGUCGAACGGAAAGGCCCUGCUUUUGUGGGGUGCUCGAGUGGCGAACGGGUGAGUAACACGUGAGUAACCUGCCCUUGACUUUGGGAUAACUUCAGGAAACUGGGGCUAAUACCGGAUAGGAGCUCCUGCUGCAUGGUGGGGGUUGGAAAGUUUCGGCGGUUGGGGAUGGACUCGCGGCUUAUCAGCUUGUUGGUGGGGUAGUGGCUUACCAAGGCUUUGACGGGUAGCCGGCCUGAGAGGGUGACCGGCCACAUUGGGACUGAGAUACGGCCCAGACUCCUACGGGAGGCAGCAGUGGGGAAUAUUGCACAAUGGGCGGAAGCCUGAUGCAGCAACGCCGCGUGCGGGAUGACGGCCUUCGGGUUGUAAACCGCUUUCGCCUGUGACGAAGCGUGAGUGACGGUAAUGGGUAAAGAAGCACCGGCUAACUACGUGCCAGCAGCCGCGGUGAUACGUAGGGUGCGAGCGUUGUCCGGAUUUAUUGGGCGUAAAGGGCUCGUAGGUGGUUGAUCGCGUCGGAAGUGUAAUCUUGGGGCUUAACCCUGAGCGUGCUUUCGAUACGGGUUGACUUGAGGAAGGUAGGGGAGAAUGGAAUUCCUGGUGGAGCGGUGGAAUGCGCAGAUAUCAGGAGGAACACCAGUGGCGAAGGCGGUUCUCUGGGCCUUUCCUGACGCUGAGGAGCGAAAGCGUGGGGAGCGAACAGGCUUAGAUACCCUGGUAGUCCACGCUGUAAACGGUGGGUACUAGGUGUGGGGUCCAUUCCACGGGUUCCGUGCCGUAGCUAACGCUUUAAGUACCCCGCCUGGGGAGUACGGCCGCAAGGCUAAAACUCAAAGGAAUUGACGGGGCCCCGCACAAGCGGCGGAGCAUGCGGAUUAAUUCGAUGCAACGCGUAGAACCUUACCUGGGUUUGACAUGGAUCGGGAGUGCUCAGAGAUGGGUGUGCCUCUUUUGGGGUCGGUUCACAGGUGGUGCAUGGCUGUCGUCAGCUCGUGUCGUGAGAUGUUGGGUUAAGUCCCGCAACGAGCGCAACCCUUGUUCACUGUUGCCAGCACGUUAUGGUGGGGACUCAGUGGAGACCGCCGGGGUCAACUCGGGGGAAGGUGAGGAUGACGUCAAGUCAUCAUGCCCCUUAUGUCCAGGGCUUCACGCAUGCUACAAUGGCUGGUACAGAGAGUGGCGAGCCUGUGAGGGUGAGCGAAUCUCGGAAAGCCGGUCUCAGUUCGGAUUGGGGUCUGCAACUCGACCUCAUGAAGUCGGAGUCGCUAGUAAUCGCAGAUCAGCAACGCUGCGGUGAAUACGUUCCCGGG
RNAcentral lists this ribosomal RNA (1343 nucleotides) under uncultured bacterium. RNAcentral's name for it is "16S ribosomal RNA". It matches the Rfam family "Bacterial small subunit ribosomal RNA", at positions 28 to 1378 of the family's 1533-position model. The record is from RNAcentral.